AAUUUAGCAUUAAUUAAUUGUAAUGGGUUCCACAUAAAAAAAGGUCAGGUACACCUCAGUACGACUACAAACCGGUACCAACCAUCUAGUUCACCUCCUCAUCAAACAACCUGAUCUACAUGGCCUGCAUUGCCCAAGAUGUCUCCAGUUCCAGAACUCCUACAUGAAUGGGCUAGAACCAAAACCACAUAAAAUCCUUCAAAAGGUCAAAAAUUGUUUCUAAAGAGUGUAUACAACAACGCAUGCAGUACGUACACACCUUGCAGUCUUCACCAAGUAGAAUGAGUAGAUCAG
This 294-nucleotide long non-coding RNA is filed under the name Hordeum vulgare. RNAcentral's name for it is "long non-coding RNA (HVUL_LNC000440)". The record is from RNAcentral. Lineage: Eukaryota; Viridiplantae; Streptophyta; Magnoliopsida; Poales; Poaceae.